This 71-nucleotide transfer RNA is filed under the name Bos taurus (domestic cattle). It matches the Rfam family "tRNA". From Rfam's summary of the family: Transfer RNA (tRNA) molecules are approximately 80 nucleotides in length. Their secondary structure includes four short double-helical elements and three loops (D, anti-codon, and T loops). Further hydrogen bonds mediate the characteristic L-shaped molecular structure. tRNAs have two regions of fundamental functional importance: the anti-codon, which is responsible for specific mRNA codon recognition, and the 3' end, to which the tRNAs corresponding amino acid is attached (by aminoacyl-tRNA synthetases). tRNAs cope with the degeneracy of the genetic code in two manners: having more than one tRNA (with a specific anti-codon) for a particular amino acid; and 'wobble' base-pairing, i.e. permitting non-standard base-pairing at the 3rd anti-codon position. Lineage: Eukaryota; Metazoa; Chordata; Mammalia; Artiodactyla; Bovidae. RNAcentral also lists the same sequence under 4 other names. The record is from Rfam by way of RNAcentral.
UCCCUGGUGUCUCAGUGGUAAAGAAUCUGCCUGCAAUGCAGGAGACCAGGGUUUGAUCCCUGGGUUGGGAA